GGAGAAGGCUCCAAACAUCUGAAAAGCAGAACGUGCAACUUGCAGCUGACAGAAGUCGGCACCUGCUGGCAACCCCCAUUCUCCGGGCUCGACCAUUAACUCCAAGAAGGCCGGGACUGUUUCUGUCUCAUUGUCAUCUAACCUGACACACAGAAAGUACCUGAUGAGCAUGUGUCGAAUGAAUGAAUGAGGACGUGGCCCUGAGAGGGCGAGCUCACUGCCAUCAUCAGUGUCCAUUGUCCCUCAGCACCAGCAGCACCGGCCCACUGUGGCCCUCCAUCUGCCGGUACAAGGUCCGCAGACUGAAGCCGUCCCUCGCCGUGCAGAAGACCAGGCUCCAGGGAUGUCCACUUACUCGUGGUGGGAGGUGGAGGCUGAGCUGGAGACAGAGCCGGAGACGCGGCAUCCUCCACCUGGCUGGGCUGUGAAGGACAAAGAGACCUGGUGGGUCCAGAAACAAGGGAUGGGACCAGCUCCCAUCACUUCCCGAGCCUCGCCACCCUGUCCAGCCCAGCGUAGCUAAGAAGGACUCUGCCCCUGCCUUUGGCCUGCCUCUUCCCUGGCUCCUGCCAGCUGACGGUCAAAGCACACGCACACCCGCUCCCAGAGCUGCCCAGAUGCCGCAGAGCCUGCACUGUUUGCUAUGGGUCCAGGUGGGUGCCAGGGAUCAAAUUCUGCGUCUGGGAGCAGGAGAGAAGGGCAGGUGACACCUGUCCCCAGGGCUGCCUCUAUGCAUUUUGCACAUGAAAUAAAUGAUAACAACA
This is a long non-coding RNA of Tupaia belangeri chinensis (Chinese tree shrew), 764 nucleotides long. RefSeq lists it as uncharacterized. NCBI's taxonomy places the organism in Eukaryota, Metazoa, Chordata, Mammalia, Scandentia, Tupaiidae. The transcript is spliced from 4 exons. The record is from RefSeq and is a predicted model, not a curated record.